This 3379-nucleotide long non-coding RNA is filed under the name Triticum aestivum (bread wheat). RNAcentral's name for it is "long non-coding RNA (TAES_LNC021544)". The record is from RNAcentral. Lineage: Eukaryota; Viridiplantae; Streptophyta; Magnoliopsida; Poales; Poaceae.
CUUGUUCAAAUUAAAACAAGCAGGACCUAACGCACCGAGCACACAUUUGUCCCACACACAUGAAGUCUUUUUAGAAUUUCUAAUACAUACGGAGUGGGAGUAGUGGAGGCAGGUGAUAAUCAGUGCUCAGGAGUGACCAAUCAAAAGCAUGCUGAAACAAAAUCUGAAAGCUAACCCUUUUCAUCUCACUAAGUGGAAAUGCUCUAUUUUUGCCUUGAAGAAAUCCACAACUGCUUCAACUCCAGCAGUCUAACCUUCCCAAACUGAAAUGUUGUUGCUGCCCUGUUUUUUUAUCAAAUUCUCUACCUCCUCCAGCGCCUAUCCGAGCUCCUUGUACGGCAGAACCUGCAGAACAAGAACCUCAUGAGCAAGAAUCUGAAGAAUACUGCUGAAAGAACAAGAACCUGAAGAAAGUCACAAUUAAGGUGAUACUGAUGAAAGUGCAUUUUGAUGUGCUUUUGACAUUAUUAUUUGAAGGAGCAGAUGCUCAAAUUGAAACAGAUUAUUUGGGUAUGGUACUUUAAUUCCAGAUGAUCAACAAAUGUCAUGUUUUGAUUCAUGGAUCAUGCAUAUAUAUCCUGCCAUUCCAGCUCAAGUUAGACUAAUGCAGCAAGACCAUAAACAUGUACUCCUGGUAUACAGCGGAGCAUACGGCAUACAGCGGAGCAAGCUAAUGCUGCUACAGUGCUGAAUUAAACAUUCUUUAGGCCUCCUUUGGUUCAUAGGAUUGGAAAAUCAUAGGAAUAGGAAAGUCAUAGGAAAUGAGAUGACAUGCAUCUCAAAUCCUAUAAAUAGGAAUAGAAAAAGAGAUGCCCUUUGAUUCACACCAUAGGAUUUUUUCCAUUGAGUCUAGGCUAAUGUUUGUUUUCCUAUGAAAUGUGGAGGAUAGGAAGAAUUCCUCCAUAGGAAUAGGAUUUCAUUCCUACAAACCAAAGAGCUCUGAAGGAAUUUUUCCUAUAGAAAUCCUAUCCUAUGAAAAUCCUACAAAAUUCCUCCAAACCAAAGGAGGCCUAAGAUGUCUAUGCAUUAAUGUAAUGCAUGAAAGUCACUACAAACAAGCAAAUACUCAUGUUUUUCUGUAGUACUCAUGUUAUCAAGCAGAAAAGGAAAAGAAGAGAAAAGAAACAACAUUCAUGGGAGUGGGAGAUGCUUCUGAUAAUCUGAUGCCAAAAAGAAAUGAAGAAAAUAAUGAUGUCUUUGUACAUACGGCCAUAAACCCCAAUGAUAGAGCGAGCAUGAACACUGAACAGGGAAAGCAAACGGUGCUCCGGCCUCCGGAUCCAGUCAGAAAACGAUCAAGGCAUCACGUUCCCAAAUCCUACCUCACCUGGUCAUUAUCAGUCCCUUUAAUGUUCUGGAUCAGGAGCAAGGUGUACUCCUCCCUGCCUUUUUGUUUGCCCUAAUCCUACUCCCCUUUUUUGAAAGGGGUUUUUGUUUUGGAAUUGGAAUUCUUAUCCGAAUAAGCAGACCCUUCAGUAUCACUGCCAUUUCUGUAGCAUUCCAUAAUGGUAGUGUUCUUUUUUCCUUAUUGUGUGAUCUAAAUAAGCACAUUCCAAAAGCUAUAAGCUGCUUUAACUGAACAUUUACAGACAUCUGUUACUACUGGAUAAUCACCACAUUACUACUACUGGUCACUACACUACAUGGUCAGAUUUGAGAAGAGAGCGAACUUUGGCUACAUAAGAUAUUGUACAUAGCAAUAGAAAGAAAUAGCCCAUAUGUCCAUAGCAAUAGAAAGAAUUACUCUAGCACAUUUGUACUUGCUGCAGAAAUUAUAUGUUUGGUCACAACUACUCAGGGUAUAUAAUCUCCUACUCCAAAUAGCUAUAAACAGAUAGAAUCAAUAGCAACUCCAAAUUAAAUGACCAUAGUAAUUAGGAACAAUUUGCUGUAAAUUUACUCCUGAUAUUAGGAGUACUGUAAUUUACUCCUGACAUUUUGCAAGAUUACUACUGGUACAUUUAAAUAGAACAAUUUGCUGAAAAUAGGAGUACAUCAUGAUGUUGAAAUGAUGAUGAACAAGUACUCCAGCAGUUAACAGGAACAAAUCAUUGCAGCAACACAUGAAUUAAACCAUGUCACAAGUCCGGUGCUAGCUAUCUGUGGCACCAUAGAGAAGAGGAGGAACUCACCUAGGUGGUUGUUGCCGAGGUAGAAGCUCGUCGCCGCCUCCCUGCACGGCGAGGAAGAAGCUGCAGCACCGAGAGAGCCACGUCUUUAACAGUAACAGUAACAAUCUAUUACCUGCAAGAAGAAUGAAGAACAAUCUCUUGAAUUACAGUACACUCACAUAGUUAUUGCUGUGGCCAAGAAUAAAAUGUUUAAACACUGAAUUUACUCCAAGAACUUAAACAACAGUCUAGAAUAUUGAAGUACAUCAAGCAGCAGAGAUAUCAUCCUCCCACACUUGUUCAUUUGUUCUUAAGAAGAUAAACAUCAUCAUAGUACUCGAAUUACAGAAAAGUUCCAGAAAUAAUGACUGAAACUUGGAAGCUGGGUCACAAUCAGGAGUAAUUGUAGCAAUGAGGAACUAGCGAAAAUACUGCAUUCCUAAUUAACUCUGAACAUGGAUUGAUUACUCAUCGAGGAGACACAGAACGCUGCGGACAGAGAAGCAGCAAUGAAAAUGAGACGGAGAAUGUUGGGCAUCAAUUACUCUUAGGAAGAUUUGGAACCACCGCAGAUUAAGUCGAGAAAGGGAAGCACCACGGAUUAAGGCGAAAUUACUCCAUCUAUAUGUCAGUGCACUCUCCGCCCGCCAUGGAGGACCUGCUCCUCCCCGCUGGCCGCCUUCGCCGCUACCGGAUCCAGCACCGCCGCCAGAUCAGCCAAUUUGGACCCAAAAAAUGAGCUUUUUUGGAGCCAGGCAGAUGCGUCGGGGGCAGCGGCGGGCGAAUGCGUAGGCGGAAGCGGCGCUCGACGGGCAUAUGCGACGGCAGCAGCGCUCGCUCUGCCGGGGCAUGCGACGUCGCGCCGGCGCUGGGACGGCGGAGAAAUUCGGGGGGUGCGGGCGGAAUGGUGGAUGCGAGUUGAGUGGGCGAUGCGACGACGAGAACUGAUGAUUCUCUGGACUGUUAGUUGUGUUGUCUCCCAAAAACUUUCAGGUUUUUAUUUGUUUGUAAAUUUACCACUAGCAACAGAUAUUUGGGGACGGAGGGAGUACUACUUUUGGCCACAGCAGUCCGGGCCAUCGGCGGCCAUGCGCUUGCCCGGCGCGCAAAUGCAGAGGAGGCGUGAGGGAGAGGACAGGGGCACGGGAAAGAAUGAGGAGGAGGCGUAGAAGGGUUCGUCACCGGCAUGGCAGCACUCUCCGGUCGGAGUGGCGCCUGAGGGCCGCGGGGCUGGAGGGAUAGGGGCAACGGGUGCUCGCUCCUCUGUG